Molecule: ribosomal RNA, 489 nt
Filed under: uncultured bacterium
Lineage: Bacteria
Description: partial 16S ribosomal RNA
Rfam family: Bacterial small subunit ribosomal RNA
Source: RNAcentral
UUGAACGCUGGCGGCAGGCCUAACACCUGCAAGUCGAACGGUAACAGGAAACAGCUUGCUGUUUCGCUGACGAGUGGCGGACGGGUGAGUAAUGUCUGGGAAACUGCCUGAUGGAGGGGGAUAACUACUGGAAACGGUAGCUAAUACCGCAUAACGUCGCAAGACCAAAGAGGGGGACCUUCGGGCCUCUUGCCAUCGGAUGUGCCCAGAUGGGAUUAGCUAGUAGGUGGGGUAACGGCUCACCUAGGCGACGAUCCCUAGCUGGUCUGAGAGGAUGACCAGCCACACUGGAACUGAGACACGGUCCAGACUCCUACGGGAGGCAGCAGUGGGGAAUAUUGCACAAUGGGCGCAAGCCUGAUGCAGCCAUGCCGCGUGUAUGAAGAAGGCCUUCGGGUUGUAAAGUACUUUCAGCGGGGAGGAAGGGAGUAAAGUUAAUACCUUUACUCAUUGACGUUACCCGCAGAAGAAGCACCGGCUAACUCCGUG